UGGCGCACGGCGCACGGGUGCGUAACACGUGGGCAACCUGCCCUACAGAGGGGGAUACCCCCGCGAAAGCGGGACUAAUACCGCAUGACAUUCCGGUGGCUUCGGCCGCUGGACUCAAAGUCCGCAAGGACGCUGUUGGAGGGGCCCGCGCCCGAUUAGCUAGUUGGUGAGGUAAUGGCUCACCAAGGCGACGAUCAGUAGCUGGUCUGAGAGGAUGAUCAGCCUCACUGGGACUGAGACACGGCCCAGACUCCUACGGGAGGCAGCAGUGGGGAAUAUUGGACAAUGGGCGCAAGCCUGAUCCAGCCAUGCCGCGUGGGUGAUGAAGGCCCUAGGGUUGUAAAGCCCUUUCGGCGGGGAAGAUAAUGACGGUACCCGCAGAAGAAGCCCGGCUAACUUCGUG
This 403-nucleotide ribosomal RNA is filed under the name uncultured bacterium. RNAcentral describes it as "bacterial SSU rRNA". It matches the Rfam family "Bacterial small subunit ribosomal RNA", at positions 89 to 507 of the family's 1533-position model. The record is from RNAcentral.